UAUGAACGCUGGCGGCGUGCCUAAUACAUGCAAGUCGAGCGAACAGACGAGGAGCUUGCUCCUCUGACGUUAGCGGCGGACGGGUGAGUAACACGUGGAUAACCUACCUAUAAGACUGGGAUAACUUAGGGAAACCGGAGCUAAUACCGGAUAAUAUAUUGCACCGCAUGGUUCCAUCGUGAGAGACGGUUUUGCUGGCAGUUAUAGAUGGAUCCGCGCCGCAUUAGCUAGUUGGUAAGGUAACGGCUUACCAAGGCAACGAUGCGUAGCCGACCCGAGAGGGUGAUCGGCCACAUGGGAUCUGAGGCAGGUCCGACACGCCGACGGGAGGCAGCGGUAGGGAAUCUUCCGCAAGGGGCGAAAGCCUGACGGAGCAAAGCCGCGUGAGUGAUGAAGGUCUUAUGAUCGUAAAACUAUGUUAUUCGUGAAGAACAAAUGUGUAAGUACCUGUGCACGUCUUGACGGUACCUAAUCAGAAAGCCACGGCUAACUACGUG
This 497-nucleotide ribosomal RNA is filed under the name uncultured bacterium. RNAcentral's name for it is "partial 16S ribosomal RNA". It matches the Rfam family "Bacterial small subunit ribosomal RNA", at positions 29 to 507 of the family's 1533-position model. The record is from RNAcentral.